UUGAUGGGCAAAAAAAUAUUCAAUCAAUUUUAGAAUAAGGCUGUAAUGUAACUCAAUGUGGAAAAGUCAAGUGAAUCGUUUCCGAAUGCACUGUAUGGGAGAGUUUUUGCUUGCGUCUGUCGGGUGUGAUAUGUUGUCGCGCUUGCUAAAGCCCCCUAAGAUCUAUGGGCUCUGGGCUGGGUUUCUACUCAGCUAACAUAUGGAAUUAUUUUAAGAAGGUCAUAUCAAGGAUCAUUUAGCUAUUAGAUUUUACAUUUUAGGGCCUCUGUAAGUAUAAAACUGAAUAUUUUCCAAUUAUUUGAUUAGACGUUGAAUUUGGCCUUACCGCUAUUAGCCCACAGAAACACAUUGAAUAACAUAUUUAUAUAUGGCAAAACAGAAGCUUGUGGGGAUCGUAGAGCAUAACUGAGUUUUGUAGGCCAAACUGUUCAGACGCUACAUACAUUUCCAUGAGAAGACCGACUUUUCUCCUGGUCCACCGCAGAUGCGGAAGACGACAUUGGCCGAUGCAGUGGACUGAGACGCAGCCCAUGCAAAAAACAGAUAUUUCUAGCUUAAACAGACAGAUCCGGAUGGGGAUUUUUUUAUCAUGCUAAUUCGAUUUCCAUGGGGAUGUGGAGAUCAAUAAAUACCAGAGGAAAGUGGAGAGCACACCUUGAGUUUUGUGCCCGACCUGCUUUUUUUGUGAAUCUGAUAGGUCAAGACACGCAAACAGCCUGCAGCAGCACUCCAAUGUGAAGGACUGAGAAAUUGUGCAUGAGUUGAUAAAUCAUGAGGUAAAUCGGUAAAAAAAAACAGCACUUUGCAUUGACAUAUUUUAGUAAAAUAAUUUGAAAAGUGCUGUGGCAAAUGCCUCCUCACGUUUUCUAGCGUCUGUAUUGAGAACAUUCUCUCUGAGUUAAAAUAGUUUUUUUUUGCAGGGGAGACAAGAUUGAAAAGGAAAGAAUAUGUCCUCAUUCCUCUGGAAAAGCCACAAAACUAAUGUCUAUGCACCCUCGUCCAAUUCAGAUGUUCUAUUCAUUUCAUAACCGUGCCUUUGCCACCCGUUUAAUUCAACAGUAACAACAGAAGAUGAGAAAGAACCCCAAGUGCGUUACACUGACAGCAGAUACAUGUCCUCUCUAAAUAUAUAUACUGUAGGUUUUAAUCUGUACCACCACCUGUCCAUAGGAUAAAUUGGUGACUGCUCAGUGAGGUUUCCAAUAUUGCUGCUGCAAUUUAGAUAUGCCCCUCAUGAGUGAAAUGUAAUUAUCAUUUGUUGUACAAAGGCCCAUGUUUUCCCCCCACAUCUCAGUCAAUUACACACACAGACAAGGAAACUCAUUUCACACUGCACAAGCUCAAUGUAAAUAGAUGUACUGUACAGCGCACAAAUGAGAACGUUGGAUGAGUGUGAUUGCAUAAGCACUGUUCUUAUACACACAAUGUUGAGAACAUGCUGGAACAGGAACCUUUUGAGAGCUCCUGCGGUCAUACUGGGGAUUGUAUUGAUUUUAAUUUGCAACUGAAUGAAGUGCUCAAAAAGAGGACAGAAUCGUUCCAGAUAAUUAGCGAGCCCUCGAGGUGUUAUGGGAGGUAGAGAGGAGCUCGCUGAGAAGAGGAUGAAAGAACAAUCUCUAACACUUCCCAUGUACAAGCUGUAUAGUCCCUGUUUUUAUACGCAGUGUAUUGUAUAACUUGCUAUCACCAUUCAUAAGACAUCAUCUGGGUCUCCUAUAACUGCCUGUAUAUGUGCAUAAUUGUUUUAAAGGCAAGAAGGCAGGCGGUUCAUGAAGUGUUAUUGACACAUCAGAAUUUUAUUUUAUUUCAGCAGAAAUAAAUAAAUUACUUAGAAAACGUUUUUAUCCAAAUGGACUUACAGUACAGCGAGUGCAUACAUUUUUUGUAUGUUAAACCCACAACCGUGUGUCACGUUCUGACCUUACUUCGUUUGUUUUUGUCUUUGUUUUAGUAUGGUCAGGGCGUGAGUUGGGGUGGGCAGUCUAUGUUUGUUUUUCUAUGUUGGCUUUUGAGUUCGGCCUAGUAUGGUUCUCAAUCAGAGGCAGCUGUCAAUUGUUGUCCCUGAUUGAGAAUCAUACUUUGGUAGCCUUGGUUUCACUUUUGGUUUGUGGGUGUUAGUUUCCGUGUGAGUGUUCGGGCCACACGGUACUGUUUCGUUUUGUUCACAUUGUUUAUUGUUUUGUUCCAGUGUUCAGUUUGUUUAUUAAAAAGACAUGAACACUUACCACACUGCACCUUGGUUCUCCUCUCCUUCCCCAGACGACAAGCGUUACAGAUUUACUCCCAUGUACACCUGUCUAACGGCUGGUCCGCCCCUAUAUAUAGACCCCAUGGCCGCGACACACGUUCUCUGUCAUUUUCUCGGCAGACGUCCAUAUGGUUUGAGGUACAAACUUUCUGAAGAUCGCUUGGUAUGUCACUGAGUGUAAGAGUAUCAUGGUGGGCUUUCCAAUACGUUGAGGCAUCAACUUUGGAGUUCCUUAACAGAGUUACUCCAUCAUAUGGUGCUGUUUUUACUGCUUGGAUAUUAAACCGGCUAGAGGUACAGGGUAAUUUAUCCCUCACCGGGUUCCUAUUCCUCCAAGCGGGUCACGACAUAUGCUCUCCCAGGGCAUCGGACCCCUGCUCCGUGGCCUUGCUGGCUUGGCUAAGCUUAUGGCUUCCCUUUGUGACUGGUGUGAUGGUGGCAUUCCCCCUGGAGAUCCACAUACCUCCUAUAUGCAUUGCCUGUGUUUGAGCCAUGUGGAGAGGGCGGCGGAGCGCCCUACUGGAUGCCUGUUUUGUGUGGUGUUCUCAGAACGCCUGCGCCUGGCGCGAUUGGAGGCCAUGCAUGAGUGGGUCGACCAGGCUCGGGCUCAGGCUGGGGACGAGCUCCCUCCCUCAGGAGUGGUGCGCCAGUGAGCUGUUAGUCCCUCUACAGGGCCAAGUAGCCUUCCCAGGAAGCGUAGCCAGAGCCACCGAAGGCAGAGCCCAUCUGCUGCCAGUCCUGGACGGAGGCAGGAGUCGGACCACUGGGACCACCUUCAAUGGAGGGUGCAUGCCCUGCGUCAGGAGUUUGAGAGCUUCGAUGGCGACAACAGCCAUUCUCUGUUGGCCAGUGACAGGCUGUUCCUGGGGGACUAUGCUAGCACUGUUCACCACCGUGAGCGGGGCUACCAGGCUGACAGGCCAUCAGAAGCUGGCAGCGGGGCUUCAUCGCCCCCAGGGUCUCGAGAGGCUAUGAGGAGCCUACUCACUCGGGUAACCACUACACUGGACAUCAAACUGGUGGACAGUGAUGAUUCUCCAUCUGUCCCCAUCUCGUCUGAGUUCCGUGAGGCCUUGCAGGAGAGCUGGGGCUCUGCCAGGGGGCGCUUCCGACUCUCUCCUGCCCUAGUUGCCAAUCAGUCGCCACUGAAGACACCUGCUCCUUUUCCCUGACCCAAUCACAUCCCCUUUCCCUUGGUUUAAAAACCCAGUCAGUUGUUUUCCCAAACUCUCUUCUCUCUCUCUCCCCUUCUCUUUGUAAGGAGCUAUCUCUCUUUAGUUUGGUGCCUACAUCUCACUUUGUCUGUAAUUAUGUGAGUAUGUAUUGUUGUGGUUCAUGACUGUUUGUUUGUUGGUGGGAAAAAGAGGUACAAAGCCAAGUCGCCCAUGGGCAUACAUUACCCGUAGGAAAACUUUGUCCAAGUACCCUAGUUAGAACUGGGCGGACCACCCACUGUAUUUUAUUGGUUAGUUAGCUGGCAGUGCUUGAGGCAGGUAAGACUAGCUUAGGGGUUUUUGGAUAUUUAUUAUUUCUUUCCUUGGGUCCAGCU
Long non-coding RNA from Oncorhynchus keta (chum salmon), 3797 nucleotides. RefSeq lists it as uncharacterized. The transcript is spliced from 3 exons. Lineage: Eukaryota; Metazoa; Chordata; Actinopteri; Salmoniformes; Salmonidae. The record is from RefSeq and is a predicted model, not a curated record.